AAGACGUGAGAAGUAUGUUCAAAGUAGCGGUAAAAUGUGUUAAUCUUGAGCAGACUAACAAUAGCGAAGGCAUCUCACGAGGACAGUUCUGACAGUAAGGGAUGAAGGCUAGGGGCGCAAAACGGAUUAGAUACCCGUGUAGUCCUAGCAGUAAACACUGCACACUAAACAUUAGUACCUCCUCGAGAGGUAUUGGUGCUGAAGGGAAGCCGAAGAGUGUGCUACCUGGGAAGUAUAGUCGCAAGGCCGAAACUUAAAGGAAUUGGCGGGGAGACACUACAACGAGUGACGCGUGCGGUUCAAUUAGAUUAUACACCGUGAACCUCACCAGGACCGACAGCAGGAUGAAGGUCAGUCUAAAGGGCUUACCUGACACGCUGAGAGGAGUUGCAUGGCCGACGUCAGCCUGUGCCGUGAGGUGACCUGUUAAAUCAGGUAACAGGCAAGACCCACAUGUAUAUUUAUCAUUACAAUAUACAGAUUGCCUUGGUAACAAGGAUGAAAGUGUGGGCUACGUUAGGUGGGUACAGCCCGACCGCCCUGGGCAACACGCGCGCGUCAAUGGUGAAUACAAUGGGAUGCAACACCGAAAGGUGAAGCCAAUCUCUUAAAGUUCAUCUCAGUCCAGAUUGAGGUUUGUAACUCAGCCUCAUGACGCUGGAAUUCGUAGUAAUCGGAUGUUAUCAACGUCCGGUGAAUAAGUCACUGUCUCUUGCACACACUGCCCGUCAAACCAACCAAGUUUAUUUAUGAUGAAACUUUUCGAAGGAGAAUCUUGGGUAAGCGAGGUAGGUUAAGUCGUCACAAGGUAUCUGUAGGGGAACCUGCAGAUG
Molecule: ribosomal RNA, 833 nt
Filed under: metagenome
Description: bacterial SSU rRNA
Rfam family: Archaeal small subunit ribosomal RNA
Source: RNAcentral